GAAAGAAUAGGGUGCCCCGAAAAGAGGUAUGCGUUUGCACUGGGGCCACCGCUUGCUGUGUGCGGCUGGCCUUGAGCAAGCCAUUCAGCAUAUCUGAAAUUCGGUUUUCCUUUGUGAAGUACCUAUAGCACCGUCCACCUCACUGACCCAGUAGUGGGCCUGGCGCGUGGUGGGUGUUGCGUCUACCUGCAUUAAUAUGAACCGUCUUCACUAAUUCCCACCCGAUCGGAAGGGUCAGCUUUAAGAGGGCGGUGAUUACUGCGUUGUCCAUAAAACAAAAGAUUUUUGUGUUUCCGUGUUCAGGCUGUUAAUAGCACCUUCUCUUUUCUUAGGGUGUGUUUCAUAACCCAACGAGGGGCUUUGGAAGAAAGGGUGGCCAAGGGCUCAUCUGUGACCCUCAGCCUCAUGAGAAUUGUGGGAAGUUUUCUCUACCCUGGCACCUACCUCACUCUUUACUGGAAGACCCGUAUAGGACCGCACGCACAGUUUUUGCUGCCCCUCUCCAGAAUUUUUCACCUCGUGGGACAUUGCUGUGACCAUCAUGGGAGGAUGGCCUGAACCCUGGAGAGAAGUUAGCCUCCAAUAGCUUGAAGGAGACUGACAAGGACCAUCUCCUGGAAGGAAGAAAAGAAAGUGCUAAUGUGGCACGGGUGAGGGACUGACCUAAGUUUUUUUCACAAGUGAGCUCAUCUGAGGGGCUGAGGCUGUAGCUCAAUGGUAAAGUGCUUGCCUCUCAUGUGUGAGGCAUUGGGUUCAAUCCUCAGCACCACGUAAAAAUAAAGAUACAAGUGAGCUCAUCUGAGUCCAUAAGGGUGUUGUGAGCUAGGUGGAACAUUUGAUAUAAGGAAAUUGGUUCAUCAGGUUAAAAUAGGUCACCUCAUAUCUCAUAGCAAGGAUGACAUAGAGCCAUACUCUUGGAGACUCCACUGCAGUUGUGUUCUAGGGUUCUGGCAAGAAAGGAUCAUCUGGUCAAGUCUCCCUCACAGUCUUGAGAUGCUAGGGACCAUAUUAGAGGGUAUGAACGAAGGCAUCUUACACUAUGGCCUACCCCUCCAAGUUCUCAGCCGUUUGUCUCAGAACAAAACCACACUAGGUAGCCAGGUGUUCAGGCGUAUGCCUGUAAUCCCUGCUACUUGGGAGGCUGAGGGAGGGAGAUUGCAAGACCAGCCAAAACAAUUUAGUGAGAUCCUGUCUCAAAAAAGGGCUGGGGAUAUAGCUUAGUGGUUAAGUGCACCCAUGUUCUAUCCCUGGUACCAGAAAAACAACAACAACAAAAAUAAAAUAAAACACAUUAAACCAUGCGGGGUGGCUUUAUGCUUGUAAUCCCAGCAGUUUGGCAGUUUGGGAGACUGAGACAGGAGCAUUGCAAGUUCAAAGCCAGCCUCAGCAAAAGUGAGGUGCUAAGCAACUCAGUGAGACCCUUUCUCUAAGUAAAAUACAAAAUAGCACCGGGGAUGUGGCUCAGUGGCCUAGUGCCCCUGAGUUCAAUCUCUGGUACAAAAAAGAACAAAAAAAAAACCCACAUAAGUAACAGAUGAAGGAGGGCAUUUGAGGUAGAAUCCCCAAAAGGCAGAGGAGAGGCAACCCUCCCCCACUCUUCCUUGGUCUUGGAGGGGUUAAUGAAAGGAGUCCUGUGUAUCAGAGUUGGGCCUUUUUUUAGCACCAUCUGGCAGGAGUCACCUCUCCUGCACCUGCUACUUAUACAAACCAUUGCUCCUUUGCCAGUCAGCAGUGCAGAGAUGUGAUGCCUGUGUAAUUUGGAUUCAGUGGCCCCCAGGGUCAGUAUGUUCUUUGUUUCAUGUUCUGAAAAUGGAAGCCCCUACUUGCUGUUGAGUUGUAUGUGGAACCGAAGGGACAAGAGAAAGUCAACAGAGGCAGAAGUCUCUCUCUCCCACCCUCCAAUCUCAAAACUUGGCUGAAGUAUGAGAAAGAGAAACUUCCAAGGCAAACAAAUGAAGGCCUAAGUAUUUAGGAAUAGUUCUUCAAAGCACAGGGCUUUGUAGGUAGGUACUUCUUAGUUCUGAACAGGUAGCUUCUAUGUUUCAGAUCAAAACAGUGCAUGAAACUGGUUGACCCAGGGACCCUUGGAAUUGAGUGAGGUUUUCCCUUCCUUUCUUUGCUGCCAAAGCAGCUUUUCCUGUCCUAAAUUAGCUGACAUACUUAUUGAGACCUACAAAGUGUGGACCCUCAGGAACUUGCAGACAAGUGAGGGGCUGGAGAGUGACUAUAAUUUAGGUUAAGUCUACUCAGUUGUGUUAUGAACCAGUUUGAAGAAGUGAACAGAAGGGGUCUGGUCAUCCUCAGAAGUAUAGAAGUGAGGGCUGGGGAUGUGGCUCAAGCGGUAGCGUGCUCGCCUAGCAUGCGUGCGGCCCUGGUUCGAUCCUCAGCACCACAUACAAACAAAGAUGUUAUGUCCGCCGAGAAAUAAAAUAUUUAAAUAUUAAAAUUCUCUCUCUCUCUCUCUCUCUCAUCUCUCUCUUAAAAAAAAAAAAA
RNAcentral lists this long non-coding RNA (2493 nucleotides) under Marmota monax (woodchuck). Lineage: Eukaryota; Metazoa; Chordata; Mammalia; Rodentia; Sciuridae. The record is from RNAcentral.